This 509-nucleotide ribosomal RNA is filed under the name uncultured bacterium. RNAcentral's name for it is "bacterial SSU rRNA". It matches the Rfam family "Bacterial small subunit ribosomal RNA", at positions 20 to 518 of the family's 1533-position model. The record is from RNAcentral.
UGGCUUAGGAUGAAACGCUAGCGACAGGCUUAACACAUGCAAGUCGAGGGGCAGCAUAGAAGUAGCAAUACUUGGUGGCGACCGGCGCACGGGUGAGUAACGCGUAUGCAACCUACCUAUCAGAGGGGAAUAACCCGGCGAAAGUCGGACUAAUACCGCAUAAAAACAGGGGGCACCACAUGGUGAUAUUUGUUAAAGAAAUUCGCUGAUAGAUGGGCAUGCGUUCCAUUAGGUAGUUGGUGAGGUAACGGCUCACCAAGCCGACGAUGGAUAGGGGAACUGAGAGGUUGGUCCCCCACACUGGUACUGAGACACGGACCAGACUCCUACGGGAGGCAGCAGUGAGGAAUAUUGGUCAAUGGGCGGGAACCUGAACCAGCCAAGUCGCCGUGAAGGAAGAAGGAUCUAUGGUUCGUAAACUUCUUUUGCAGGGGAAUAAAGUGCAGGACGUGUCCUGUUUUGUAUGUACCCUGAGAAUAAGGAUCGGCUAACUCCGUGCCAGCAGCCGC